This is a long non-coding RNA of Oncorhynchus keta (chum salmon), 759 nucleotides long. RefSeq lists it as uncharacterized. The record is from RefSeq and is a predicted model, not a curated record. The transcript has 6 exons. NCBI's taxonomy places the organism in Eukaryota, Metazoa, Chordata, Actinopteri, Salmoniformes, Salmonidae.
AGAAGGAGGGAGACAGGUGGCGACAUGGGGGAGACAGAGGGAAACAGGUGGUGACAUGGGGGAGACAGAAGGAGACAGGUGGCGACAUGGGGGAGAAGGAGGGAGAAAGGUGGCGACAUGGGGGAGACAGGGGAGACAGGUGGUGACAUUGGCGAGAAAGAGGGAGACAGGUGGAGACAUGGGGGAGAAGGAGGGAGACAGGUGGUGACAUGGGGGAGACAGAGGGAGACAGGUGGCGACAUGGGGGAGACAGAGGGAGACAGGUGGUGACAUGGGGGAGACAGAGGGAGACAGGUGGUGAAAUAGGGCAGACAGAGGGAGACAGGUGGUGACAUUGGGGAGACAGAUGGAGACAGGUGGCGACAUGGGGGAGAAGGAGGGAGACAGGUGGUGACAUGGGGGAGACAGGUGGUGACAUGGGGGAGAAAGAGGGAGACAGGUGGUGACAUGGGGGAGACAGGUGGUGACAUGGGGGAGACAGAGGGAGACAGGUGGUGACAUGGGGGAGACAGAGGGAGACAGGUGGCGACAUGGGGGAGAAGGAGGGAGAAAGGUGGUGACAUGGGGGAGACAGGUGGUGACAUGGGGGAGACAGAGGGAGACAGGUGGUGAAAUAGGGGAGACAGAGGGAGACAGGUGGUGACAUUGGGGAGACAGAUGGAGACAGGUGGCGACAUGGGGGAGAAGGAGGGAGACAGGUGGUGACAUGGGGGAGACAGGUGGUGACAUGGGGGAGACAGAGGGAGACAGGUGGUGACA